This 583-nucleotide long non-coding RNA is filed under the name Musa acuminata (dwarf banana). Its description in RNAcentral is "long non-coding RNA (MACU_LNC003930)". Lineage: Eukaryota; Viridiplantae; Streptophyta; Magnoliopsida; Zingiberales; Musaceae. The record is from RNAcentral.
ACUUAGCACUUACAACCGUGAAGUUAAUCGUCUCACCCGAACAUCCAGCUGAUAAUGAAGCAAACAUUCAAUACUAUGAUUGCAAAUUAGGAUCAUCCACUACUAUGAGAAGUGAAACAGGAGCGAGGCAUUGCCUGAGGGAGAAGUUCAGUGCCAAUCGAGUGGAGAUCCAAAAGCCCCGGGCUAUGCCCGUUUAAGUACACGUCCUCCCGGUGUUGCCUCUGGCUGGACGACUGCGAACUUAAGCGCCGCGCCGGCGGCUCAACCGGCACCGGGAACUCCCCGCUAAUUGCCCUUUGCAUGCUCAACAACCUAGAAUACUCCACCUACACCACCACCACCGACACCGGGAAAAAGAUCGAAUAUUUGGUGGUGGGGGGAAAUAGGAGAAAUAAAUCAAAAUCGAUCCACUUGGCAAUCGAAAGGGAGCCGACCACCUGAUCCGACGAGUACCGACGCUGGCAGUGGCUUUUGCCCGUUCGACCCAUCUGCCUCCCUCCCAUGGCAGCGCCGCUCAUCUUCCCCCCGGUAGACGACGAAUACGCGAGCGAGAGAGACGCGGCAACGGAGCGGACACUGACCA